AUUGAACGCUGGCGGCAGGCCUAACACAUGCAAGUCGAGCGGAUGAAGGGAGCUUGCUCCUGGAUUCAGCGGCGGACGGGUGAGUAAUGCCUAGGAAUCUGCCUGGUAGUGGGGGAUAACGUCCGGAAACGGGCGCUAAUACCGCAUACGUCCUGAGGGAGAAAGUGGGGGAUCUUCGGACCUCACGCUCCAGAUGAGCCUAGGUCGGAUUAGCUAGUUGGUGGGGUAAAGGCCUACCAAGGCGACGAUCCGUAACUGGUCUGAGGGGAUGAUCAGUCACGCUGGAACUGAGACACGGUCCAGACUCCUACGGGAGGCAGCAGUGGGGAAUAUUGGACAAUGGGCGAAAGCCUGAUCCAGCCAUGCCGCGUGUGUGAAGAAGGUCUUCGGAUUGUAAAGCACUUUAAGUUGGGAGGAAGGGCAGUAAGUUAAUACCUUGCUGUUUUGACGUUACCAACAGAAUAAGCACCGGCUAACUUCGUG
This 483-nucleotide ribosomal RNA is filed under the name uncultured bacterium. RNAcentral describes it as "partial 16S ribosomal RNA". It matches the Rfam family "Bacterial small subunit ribosomal RNA", at positions 30 to 507 of the family's 1533-position model. The record is from RNAcentral.